AACGAACGCUGGCGGCGUGGAUAAGGCAUGCAAGUCGAACGCGAAAGUUCCCCUUCGGGGGGCCGGUAGCGUGGCGAACGGGUGAGUAACACGUGAGCAACCUACCCUCGAGUGGGGGAUAAGGCCCGAAAAGCCGGUAAUACCGCAUGAUGUUCCGGGAUUGCAUAGUCCUGGGACCAAAGGUGGGGAUCCGCAAGGACCUGCCGCUUGAGGAUGGGCUCGCGGUCCAUUAGGUAGUUGGUGAGGUAACGGCCCACCAAGCCUAUGAUGGAUAGCUGGUCUGAGAGGAUGGUCAGCCACACUGGGAUUGAGGAUACGGCCCAGACUCCUACGGGAGGCUG
This 341-nucleotide ribosomal RNA is filed under the name uncultured bacterium. RNAcentral's name for it is "bacterial SSU rRNA". It matches the Rfam family "Bacterial small subunit ribosomal RNA", at positions 29 to 351 of the family's 1533-position model. The record is from RNAcentral.